GCCCCUGUGGCCUAAUGGAUAAGGCAUUGGCCUCCUAAGCCAGGGAUUGGGGGUUCGAGUCCCCCCAGGGGUU
This 73-nucleotide transfer RNA is filed under the name Homarus americanus (American lobster). RNAcentral's name for it is "tRNA-Arg". It matches the Rfam family "tRNA". Rfam says of the family: Transfer RNA (tRNA) molecules are approximately 80 nucleotides in length. Their secondary structure includes four short double-helical elements and three loops (D, anti-codon, and T loops). RNAcentral also lists the same sequence under 7 other names. The record is from Rfam by way of RNAcentral. Lineage: Eukaryota; Metazoa; Arthropoda; Malacostraca; Decapoda; Nephropidae.